This 460-nucleotide ribosomal RNA is filed under the name uncultured bacterium. RNAcentral describes it as "partial 16S ribosomal RNA". It matches the Rfam family "Bacterial small subunit ribosomal RNA", at positions 338 to 795 of the family's 1533-position model. The record is from RNAcentral.
CCUACGGGAGGCAGCAGUGAGGAAUAUUGGUCAAUGGACGAGAGUCUGAACCAGCCAAGUAGCGUGAAGGAUGACUGCCCUAUGGGUUGUAAACUUCUUUUAUAUGGGAAUAAAAUGUUCCACGUGUGGGAUUUUGUAUGUACCAUAUGAAUAAGGAUCGGCUAACUCCGUGCCAGCAGCCGCGGUAAUACGGAGGAUCCGAGCGUUAUCCGGAUUUAUUGGGUUUAAAGGGAGCGUAGGUGGAUUGUUAAGUCAGUUGUGAAAGUUUGCGGCUCAACCGUAUAAUUGCAGUUGAAACUGGCAGUCUUGAGUACAGUAGAGGUGGGCGGAAUUCGUGGUGUAGCGGUGAAAUGCUUAGAUAUCACGAAGAACUCCGAUUGCGAAGGCAGUUCACUGGACUGCAACUGACACUGAGGCUCGAAAGUGUGGGUAUCAAACAGGAUUAGAUACCCCAGUAGUC